This 577-nucleotide long non-coding RNA is filed under the name Pan troglodytes (chimpanzee). RNAcentral describes it as "lincRNA". The record is from RNAcentral. Lineage: Eukaryota; Metazoa; Chordata; Mammalia; Primates; Hominidae.
GACUCCUUCAUCAUCAGGAUGCCAGAUAAUAUUUUAAAAGCUGACUCCACCAGAGACCCAAUUCUUGAACUUUUAAUGCACAUUUGGAAAUCCAUUGUGUUUAGUUGGCUUAGAUUAUAAACUGCAGGAGAACAGGAAGUGUAUCAAUUAUGUUCCAGUUUCUGGGAUGUACUCUUCUAGUGGAUCCACAAGCAAAAGGGAAGAGAGGAGUGUGAAGGCAGAGAAAAUAAAGCACAACCUAUGAAAUUAUAGCUUGCAGUUUUGCCAGAAUGAUGCUCUAUUAAUGCUCAGUCCCUCUUAACUUCUCACUUAAAACCCAAUUGGGAAAAAUGACCAACUAAUAGAGGCUAUUCCAUAUACUUACUAGAAUAUAUGAGUUUUACAAAUUGGAAUGAUAGGCAUUGAUAUUGACACAUCUGAAGAAGGAGUGAUCAAAGAGAAGUGGCCCUGGAGCUCUCCCCAUGAAAAGAUUAAAUUUUUAAGAAGAUGCUGCUCACCUAAAACUUAUCAAUAAAGUCAACUAUAGUUUCAAAUUGGCAAAUCAUUGUAUGGAAAAACAAUAAAACUAUGAAAUAAA